AACGCACCUUGCGCUCCUUGGUAUUCCGAGGAGCAUGCCUGUUCGAGUGUCAUUAAAUUCUCAACCUUACCAGCUUUUGUUAGUUGGUAAUGGCUUGGAUUUGGGGGUUUACUUUUGCUGGCUUUGUUUAUAAGUCUGCUCCCCUUAAAUACAUUAGCUGGUCACUCUGUGGAUCAUCUAUUGGUGUGAUAAUUAUCUACGCCAUUGGAUAUCUGCUUUAAUAUGAGCUUGACUGCUUCUAAUCGUCCUUUGGACAAUUAAUGACUAUUUGACCUCGAAUCAGGUAGGACUACCCGCUGAACUUAA
RNAcentral lists this unclassified non-coding RNA (306 nucleotides) under uncultured fungus. RNAcentral's name for it is "sequence contains ITS2". The stretch from base 1 to 52 matches the Rfam family "5.8S ribosomal RNA", at positions 103 to 154 of the family's 154-position model. Lineage: Eukaryota; Fungi. The record is from RNAcentral.